This 275-nucleotide long non-coding RNA is filed under the name Hordeum vulgare. Its description in RNAcentral is "long non-coding RNA (HVUL_LNC008961)". Lineage: Eukaryota; Viridiplantae; Streptophyta; Magnoliopsida; Poales; Poaceae. The record is from RNAcentral.
UUUAUUUUUCGUGUUUAGGUGAUUAUCUCGCAUUUUCGUGUGGCGUUAUUUUUGUUGUGCAACCGCACAUAUUUUAUAUGUUUCCGGGGUAGUGCAAUUAGCUUUAGCAUUAGAGCAAGUUAGUUCGCGCGAUAUUUUGCCAUGUUGCCCUCUUGUCUAUUUCGUAGGAUUUAUUCCGUGCUUCGUUUGAUUAAGUUUUCAACUAGAGAGUUGCCCUUUGAUGUUUAGUCUAGCCCCUGGUAAUUUUGGUUGCAAUAGAAAUGCAUGUUUAGGUG